Molecule: ribosomal RNA, 409 nt
Filed under: uncultured Gammaproteobacteria bacterium
Lineage: Bacteria; Pseudomonadati; Pseudomonadota; Gammaproteobacteria
Description: bacterial SSU rRNA
Rfam family: Bacterial small subunit ribosomal RNA
Source: RNAcentral
GAGUUUGAUCGUGGCUCAGAGUGAACGCUGGCGGCAGGCCUAACACAUGCAAGUCGAACGGCAGCGCAGCAGUAGCAAUACUGUGGGCGGCGAGUGGCGGACGGGUGAGGAAUACAUCGGAAUCUACCUUGUCGUGGGGGAUAACGUAGGGAAACUUACGCUAAUACCGCAUACGACCUACGGGUGAAAGCGGCGGACCGCAAGGCGUCGCGCGAUUGGAUGAGCCGAUGUCCGAUUAGCUAGUUGGCGGGUAAGAGCCACCAAGGCGACGAUCGGUAGCUGGUCUGAGAGGAUGAUCAGCCACACUGGAACUGAGACACGGUCCAGACUCCUACGGGAGGCAGCAGUGGGGAAUAUUGGACAAUGGGCGCAAGCCUGAUCCAGCCAUGCCGCGUGUGUGAAGAAGGCC